GACGAACGCUGGCGGCGUGCUUAACACAUGCAAGUCGAACGAUGAAGCCCAGCUUGCUGGGUGGAUUAGUGGCGAACGGGUGAGUAAUACGUGAGUAACCUGCCUUUAACUCUGGGAUAAGCCUUGGAAACGGGGUCUAAUACCGGAUACGACCAACCCUCGCAUGGGGUGUUGGUGGAAAGGGAUUUUGUACUGGUUUUAGAUGGGCUCACGGCCUAUCAGCUUGUUGGUGAGGUAACGGCUCACCAAGGCGACGACGGGUAGCCGGCCUGAGAGGGUGACCGGCCACACGGGGAAGGAAACACGGCCCAACCUCCUAGGGGGGGAAGCAGGGGGAAAUAUUGCACAAGGGGCGAAGGCCGGAUGCGGGGACGCCGGGGGGGGGAUGACGACCUUCGGGUUGAAAACCUUUUUCAGCGGGGGAGAAGGGAAAGUGACGGUACCUGAAGAAGAAGCGCCGGCAAACUACGG
This 471-nucleotide ribosomal RNA is filed under the name uncultured bacterium. Its description in RNAcentral is "partial 16S ribosomal RNA". It matches the Rfam family "Bacterial small subunit ribosomal RNA", at positions 28 to 506 of the family's 1533-position model. The record is from RNAcentral.